AGGUGAAUUUCAUGUUGGUGCCAGGCGCUGGACUGAGUCAUGGAGGUUAGUGUCCACAGCCCGCAGAGCACAGGUUGGGACUCCAGAACCCUGCCUUGUUGAGCCAGACACGCUAGCUUGCUGCAACACAGACCCAGGUCUGGUCCAUGCUCCCAAAGCUGCAGACUUUAACCGAAAACUGCUCAGCAAGUCACCUACCUCCAGCACCCAGAGCUGCAAACUGCGGUAGACACCCGGAGUGACAGGAGCCGAGAUGCAGUUAUUGCAGCUGACUCCCUAGAGCAGAACACCUCGGAGCUUGGACCAGGACCCCCAUUGUGAUAAGCGCGGCUGCUCGGACACAGGACAGAAAGAUGGCCCUUGCCCCAAAAGAUUUACAAGAUCUCAGAGCUCCAUUCCAUGGGGAGACUACGGCUGGCAGAUCUGGACCCUGCCAUCUGCCGUGUCUUUCGCAGAUGGGGGUCUGACUUUCCGUGGCAGUUUUGUUGUUUUCUGUCGUCUAAAUUCUCCUUCUUCAGAAAACCUGAGAACUCUUUCUCCGUGGCUGGGCCCAGCACCAGCAAUGCUACAGGAGGUUCCUCAGGAAUACGUCCACGUUCACCAGGCACCUCCCUGAAACUGAACUUUUGGAAAGACUCGUCAUUGGGUUUAGAUCAACUGACAGCAACUCCUGGGCACCUGAUUCUACUGCAGGGGAGGCAGCACAAAACCACUCUCUCCCCAAUCAGCACGAACCCAUCCCCCAGCUGGCAGCCUCGGGCCUGGACAGGGCAAUGGAGACUAGACUAUCCUCUCACUCCUCCAGGUCAGGAGUGUGAGUGGGGGAAGCUGGGGCUGCUGCUGGCCAGGCUGUGCCUGCUCUGAGUGUAAAUAGAGGGUUUCACUUCUUGUGCUUGUAGCAUUCGAGGGCCUGGGUUCCAUCCUCAGGGCUGACCCAUGGGGUCACGUUAUACCAGUGUGACAUUCUCUGGGAUUUCUCUCCGAGAGCGUCUCUGCAACAUUCUGGGACAUCCCUGCCACACUCCUGACCAGGACUAUGGACAUGCUAAAGAAGAAGCUGCCCCUAGACAAUCCAUUGCAGGUUUUGUACUGAGCCCAGUGCUUGAUGGGCCACAGCUUUGGGGGUCUGGCCAGUGCUGUGUGAGUACAUAGUGCAGACUUGGGGGCCAGCUCUGUUCUCAUUAACGCUGGAUAACUCACUGGAGUUACUGCAGACUUAGACCAGCGUGACCGAGAGCUUGUUUACAUGGGAAAGUUUGACAAGUUAGACCGAGUUAGUUAUAAUGCUAUAACCCUAGGGCAGGGGGGCCAACUUGAGCAUUAGAAAGAGCCAGAAUUUACAAAUGGACAUUGCCAAAGAGCCACAGUAAUGUGUCAGCAGCUCCCCACCAGCUCCCCCCCUCCACUCCCAGCUCCUGCCACGCACUGGCAGCCCUGCUGAUCAGCGCCUCCCCCUCCCUCUUCCUGAUCAGCAGUUUUGUGGUGUGCAGGAGGCUGUGGGGGAGAGGGGGGAGGA
Long non-coding RNA from Gopherus flavomarginatus (Mexican gopher tortoise), 1516 nucleotides. RefSeq lists it as uncharacterized. The transcript has 3 exons. The record is from RefSeq and is a predicted model, not a curated record. NCBI's taxonomy places the organism in Eukaryota, Metazoa, Chordata, Testudines, Testudinidae.